Oryza sativa Japonica Group (Japanese rice) is the source of this 3795-nucleotide non-coding RNA. NCBI's taxonomy places the organism in Eukaryota, Viridiplantae, Streptophyta, Magnoliopsida, Poales, Poaceae. The record is from RefSeq and is a predicted model, not a curated record.
GGAACGCUUGGGAGCGAUGCGCCACAGAAGCGAUCCGGAAACAACGCAACAGAAGCGGCCCCAAUCCAUCCUCACGCAUCCCCACAUCGCCGCGCCCGCUCCACUCUUCCACCCCCGGCGACCCCAUCGCCGCCAGCGAUCCCGCGUUGAUCUCCUCCGCAUCCCCCUUCUGUGGCCAGAUCCAGAUCGAUGGCGAGCCCCAGCGACCAACGCCGGCGCCCUCUGCUCCGGCAACCUCCUCCUCGGCCAUCUCCUCCCCGACUCCCGGUCUCCAUUGCAGCGCUCGCUUCCUCCGCAUCCAACCUCGCGCCGCCCCCCAUCGCCGCACGACGCCUCGAUCGACGGCGCCCCCCAUCGUCCCCGUCGACCGUCGCUGCCCACGGCGCCUCCAAACCGUCGCCGCAUGCCCAGCUGAUCCCCGUCGCCCACGACCACGCAGCCCACCUAUCCUCCGUCGCCACCUCCACGAGUCACCUCACGUCGAUAUCCUCCGCGCCACCAGCGAUCCCGCGUCGAUCUCCUCCACGUCCCCCUUCCGUUGGCCGCCGUCGUCUCCACGCAUGCUCACACUACUCCGCGGUGCUCGUCGGCGCAGCUCAGGACUACACCUCGUUGCCGAUCGAUCCCGCCCUCUUCCACUGGAGCCCCCUCGCUAACCUGAUGCAACGACAAAAAUGCAAGCUGCAGGCCUGUAGGGAAACCACUUAGGUGUUAAUCCUUGCUAAUAUAGCCUGGUGAUAUGCCAUGUUUUGUCUAGGAAGAGUUUACCAGGAUGUUUACUACGCAUACAUGAUUCAGGUAGUAGUGCUCUAUGGACGAACUUGUAUAUGUAGUGCACUAUGGAUGUUUGCCAGCUUAACAUGAUUGUCUGGGAUGAUUUGUAGAAGCGGGCUAUAUUUUACUCAACUUGUUUCUGCGUAGCAUGCUGACAAACUAAGUGUCUGGUGGGUUAGGGCACUACACAACAUUGUGAUGAGUGAGCCAUUGCCACUAUGCUGGUCAUGGAGCAGCAAAGCAGAGACUAUAUGUUAAGGACAUUGGCCCUUGUAGUCCUGGAAAUUAUUCUGGAGGUGGCUGUGACCUGAGCAUACAGUACAGACUGGAUCCUCCCUCUAAACCAUGUUAUUUCAGUUUCUGACUUGCAUGCUCUAUGCUAUUUCAGUUGGUGACUUAAACCUUGGUAGAACCCAGCACAAAUAGGAGGCGGCAUCUUAAUACAAUGAAAAAUGAUGGGAACUCCAUGCCAGAUUUGUCAACACAAUCAAGUCUAUUCUUUCGAAGAGGCACACUGGCCAAUGUAACAAACUUAACUGCUGCCGAGGUUAGAAGAAAGCAUGACAGGGAGAGGUACUUUCAUGAAGGUAAGUAGCAGAAAUUCGGUGCCCAUAUCCUGUUGUUUCCAGUUGACGUCUUCAGAUCCUUCUCAACAUAAUCGAAGGUAAACAAACUAUUUUCCCUGUUUUCCUUGUGUGAAUGAUAUGAAAAAAUAUUUUGCACUUGUUCAGUAAUUUGUGCAAACUGGAAAUACUGAAAAUACUAAGGACGAAGAAUAAUAUUCGAAGCCAAUCCAAAAGCAUUGCAAAUGUCGAAGGACAAAAACUCCCAGUAAUGCUUGCAUGAAAAUAGAUUAAAACAGGCUCUCUGCGAACAAAAUACAUUUCUUAAUAUUGCUCAUUUGAUAACGAGGCUGGAAACCUAAGCAUGUGAACACUAUAAAGAUGUGAAAAUUAUAAAUAUGUGACAUACUUAUUAUUAGUUCUAUAUUAAUGUUUUUGUUACAUCCGAUUUACACUCAAUGAUUAUUUAACAUAAUUUCACUUGGUGUGAUUUUUCUCCGUUGCAACGCAUGGGCACCCUACUAGUAUAAGGGAUUUUGAGUUUUUGUUUGAAUUGUUUGACCACUCGUCUUAUUCAAAAAAUUUGUGUAAAUAUAAAAAAUGAAAAGUUGUGCUUAAAGUACUUUGAAUAAUAAAGUAAAUCACAAAAAAAUAAAUAAUAAUUCCAAAAUUUUUUGAAUAAGAUGAGUGGUCAAACAGUGCAAGCAAAAACUCAAAAUCCCUUAUAUUAUGGGACGAAUGGAGUAAAAUGGUUCUUUUAGAGUACCUCCUGGAUUGUGCACAACCAUGUGGAGUCGUAGGUGAUGGUUGCAGCUCAGUCAAUACCCGACAGCAUAGUGCAGAUGAAAAUUCUUCUUAAAUAUACAGUUGCAGAGGACCUCAAACUUGUUUUAAUGAUGUUCAAUGGUGUCUAGGCAAAAUUGCUACCAGGUAAAGCUUCUUUAUGUAUUGUUGCUCUGACCAUCAUUUUUCUGCCAACAUGAUCAGUUAUGUAUGAUAUACAGUAAAUCUGAUUAGCUUUGUAGACUUGUGCAGAUCUUUCCUAAUUCAUAUAAUUGAUUUUUCCUGAUUGCAUAUCACCCUUAAUGCUAUAUUUCGUUACUUAUGAUUUCAUUUAAUGUUUGGGAGACUUAUGGCUUAUCUGUACUUGCUCUACUCAAAAUCAAAACCUACGUCAAAGUUACCAUGAUAUAGCAAAUUAACUUUUCGUCUAAAGUCUGAACCUGAGCUAUUAGAUUGGCGUACAGUGUUUUGUUAUGUUGUUGUGUGACCAAUGCCAAUAAACUUGACGUGGACACUCUUCUAUGAACUUCAUGAAGUCAGCAUCCCAUGUUGUAGCCUUCGGUGGAUCGGUGGUCCAGAUUGUCAGGUCUGUAGAGGCACAAAUUUAUUUGUAACUGGUUGAUUUCUACUCGGGUUUGUUUCUCGCUUUUGAUAUUUGACAAGUAUACUUGCAACGAUACUAAGAGGAAUGUUUAGUCUGCGUCCCUAUUGUUGGUUGUGGACUUCUGCAAUUAUCUUGUUUUUUGAGUUAUGUUAAAUGCAUAUGUCCGGUAGGGAUUUGAGGAUGAUAUUGGAGUCCAUGUAAACUGCAGAUGGUAGUUUCCCAGUAAAAUUAACUUCUUGCUUUGGUACAUCUGAUGUGGAUUCCUUUUUUUUCUUUGCAUAAGCAUGCUAACAAUCUUUUGCUACAACACUGCAAAUCAAUUUAACAUGUACAAUUCUUUCCAUCAUUGAUGAAGCCACACAGAGAUGAGCCUUGCCAUCCCUUUCUCAUGCGCAUAGCCUUAAUGAACUCCAAGAUACAACACAUCCAUAUUGAUGGAAAUUGGUCAGGGAUCUAAACAAAAUAUUUCUUUGUGGGAACUUGGAAACAUUUGAUUACAUGAUCUCUCAAUUUCUCAUUGCCUUUAGUUAUGAAAAUAUAUCAAUGUCAGUAUUUUUGCAUAUGUUAGUGGUUUAAGAUUUCGUGAAUUGAUUGCAAUCAUUAUAAUAUAUAUCUAUUUGUAGACAGAAAGAGAACUUAGCUGGUCAAUCCCUCCAUUUGACUUUUUUUUAGGGGUAAGGUUCUUGUUUCUAUCCGGUAGUGCUUAAAUGGACAUAACUUCUACUUUUCUUUUUAAUCCUAUGAGAAUUAUUAUGUAGCAUCUUUGGUUAUCAAUGUUGUUCCUGCAAAGCGUUUGGUUGCCUUUUCUUUUCAGUUGGUUUGAUUUGUUCAGAAGGGCUCGAGAGAUGGUAUCAGGCUAUCAGCAUCAGAUGCUACCAUGUUUGUGCAGAAGGCUUGCCAAACACACUCACGACGACAUAGUGAAUGAUAGUAUAAGAGGAAUUGCAUUUGGCGGCAUAUAUGUGACAAGAUGGAAUGUAUUUUUCAACAUUCCAACCUCUAUGUAAGAUCGAAUAUAUGCAAUUAACAUCUAAAUCUAAUAAAUACGACAUCAUUUGCAAUGUGCACCUA